RNAcentral lists this ribosomal RNA (810 nucleotides) under uncultured bacterium. RNAcentral describes it as "bacterial SSU rRNA". It matches the Rfam family "Bacterial small subunit ribosomal RNA", at positions 8 to 806 of the family's 1533-position model. The record is from RNAcentral.
AGAGUUUGACCUGGCUCAAGAUGAACGCUGGCGGCGUGCUUAACACAUGCAAGUCGAACGGAGAUAUCAUUUUCGAAGCGAUUAGUUUACUAAGAGUGGAGAAGAUGAUAUCUUAGUGGCGGACGGGUGAGUAACGCGUGGGUAACCUGCCUUACACUGGGGGAUAACACUUAGAAAUAGGUGCUAAUACCGCAUAAUGAGAGGAGACGCAUGUCUUCUGUCUGAAAACUCCGGUGGUGUAAGAUGGACCCGCGUCUGAUUAGCCAGUUGGCGGGGUAACGGCCCACCAAAGCGACGAUCAGUAGCCGGCCUGAGAGGGUGAACGGCCACAUUGGGACUGAGACACGGCCCAAACUCCUACGGGAGGCAGCAGUGGGGAAUAUUGGACAAUGGGGGGAACCCUGAUCCAGCGACGCCGCGUGAGUGAAGAAGUAUUUCGGUAUGUAAAGCUCUAUCAGCAGGGAAGAAAGAAAUGACGGUACCUGACUAAGAAGCCCCGGCUAACUACGUGCCAGCAGCCGCGGUAAUACGUAGGGGGCAAGCGUUAUCCGGAUUUACUGGGUGUAAAGGGAGCGUAGACGGCAGUGCAAGUCUGAAGUGAAAGGCCGGGGCCCAACCCCGGGACUGCUCUGGAAACUGCCUGGCUGGAGUACAGGAGAGGUAAGUGGAAUUCCUAGUGUAGCGGUGAAAUGCGUAGAUAUUAGGAGGAACACCAGUGGCGAAGGCGGCUUACUGGACUGUAACUGACGUUGAGGCUCGAAAGCGUGGGGAGCAAACAGGAUUAGAUACCCUGGUAGUCCACGCCGUAAA